Molecule: ribosomal RNA, 492 nt
Filed under: uncultured bacterium
Lineage: Bacteria
Description: partial 16S ribosomal RNA
Rfam family: Bacterial small subunit ribosomal RNA
Source: RNAcentral
AGUGAACGCUGGCGGUAUGCCUAACACAUGCAAGUCGAACGGCAGCACAGUAAGAGCUUGCUCUUACGGGUGGCGAGUGGCGGACGGGUGAGGAAUACAUCGGAAUCUACUUUUUCGUGGGGGAUAACGUAGGGAAACUUACGCUAAUACCGCAUACGACCUACGGGUGAAAGCAGUGGAUCUUCGGACCUUGCGCGAUUGAAUGAGCCGAUGUCGGAUUAGCUAGUUGGCGGGGUAACGGCCCACCAAGGCGACGAUCCGUAGCUGGUCUGAGAGGAUGAUCGGCCACACUGGAACUGAGACACGGUCCAGACUCCUACGGGAGGCAGCAGUGGGGAAUAUUGGACAAUGGGCGAAAGCCUGAUCCAGCCAUACCGCGUGGGUGAAGAAGGCCUUCGGGUUGUAAAGCCCUUUUGUUGGGAAAGAAAAGCAGCAGGUUAAUACCCCGCUGUUCUGACGGUACCCAAAGAAUAAGCACCGGCUAACUUCGUG